GCCUGUGUAUCCCAACGGCAGAGGAACAUGUCUUAGAAGCAUGACAGUGAGAGUUCGAAUCUCUCCACAGGCAC
RNAcentral lists this transfer RNA (74 nucleotides) under Rhodococcus phage NiceHouse. Its description in RNAcentral is "tRNA-Leu". It matches the Rfam family "tRNA". From Rfam's summary of the family: Transfer RNA (tRNA) molecules are approximately 80 nucleotides in length. The record is from RNAcentral. Lineage: Duplodnaviria; Heunggongvirae; Uroviricota; Caudoviricetes.